This 265-nucleotide ribosomal RNA is filed under the name uncultured archaeon. Its description in RNAcentral is "partial 16S ribosomal RNA". It matches the Rfam family "Archaeal small subunit ribosomal RNA", at positions 717 to 982 of the family's 1478-position model. The record is from RNAcentral.
AGACGUCUACAUUAGAUACCCGCGUAGUCCCAGCCGUAAACUAUGCGCGUUAGGUGUAUCGGUGACCACGAGUCACCGAGGUGCCGAAGGGAAACCGUGAAACGUGCCGCCUGGGAAGUACGGUCGCAAGGCUGAAACUUAAAGGAAUUGGCGGGGAGCACCACAACGGGUGGAGCCUGCGGUUUAAUUUGGACUCAACGCCGGGAAGCUCACCGGAUAAGACAGCGGAAUGAUUGCCGGGCUGAAGACUCUGCAUGACUAGCUG